RNAcentral lists this ribosomal RNA (136 nucleotides) under Bulbophyllum blepharistes. RNAcentral's name for it is "partial 28S ribosomal RNA". The record is from RNAcentral. Lineage: Eukaryota; Viridiplantae; Streptophyta; Magnoliopsida; Asparagales; Orchidaceae.
UCAUCGUCUCGCCGGACACGAACAACAAGCGGUGGAUGGAAGCGGUGCCUGUGUUGUGUCGUGGUUGCCCGGGAGAAGAUUAUAAGUUCGAGGUGAUCCCAGCCCAUGCGUCGGCCCACGGGCGGCGGCUUGGAAU